CCCCAGACAAAAUGCCGUCGGGGCUAAGCAAAUGCCAGCCCACACGAAGCGGGUAGCAAAAAUGCGCCAUCAUGGCACGCCGUAAGAAGAAGAUAAUAAAGAAGAAGCGCGGAUGCGAGAGAGCGACAGAGAGAGAGAGAGAGAGCAGUCGCUGCAGAGAGCAACAAAUUCGGAAUGAAUGUCGUUGGAAUGUGGUGAUUCCGAUACGCCGACGCUGGCGUCGCAGUCGCUGUCGCUGGCAUGGCUGCCUAUCGACAGCAGCGGCAGCCAUCAUGGAUGAGAGAGAAAACAACGUCGCUCCUCUCGCUCUUGCUCUUGCUGCCGGUCUCGUUCUCGCUGUAGCCACAGCCAUAGCUGCCAUGCUGCCCGAAACGCUGCCGCUAGCACUCACCUGCGGCGGCGGCUGUUGUGAAGUUCUGUGACGUGACUGAAAAAAUGUCGGAGCCAAGCGCCAAACCCGGGCCGGGCCGGGAUCGGAAUAGAAAUCCGAAACGUGACAGGGACAGGGAAAAGGGAGAAAGACAAUCGUUGUGCGGGCAAGUGCUCCUAUUGCGGCGGCUGUGACGGCCAACUGCGCCUGCGUCGGGGCCCGGGAAUAGGACGGGCACUGGGCCCGGACCUGGACUCGAAUCCCAACAAGGACUUUCAGGGUUUGAUUCCGCUUCGUCCCCUGGGGAGAGGCUGUCGCCAGCCUGCAGCUGUUCCAGCUCUUCGACGUGGGACGCAGACGGGACUCUGGACUCUCUCAUCUGCGUGUGUGUGUGUGUGGUUGUGUGUUUUAUGGCAUUUGUGGAUUAUACCCAUAAAAACUACACUUCCCCACGGAGAUACAAAGCGCACGAACAAAGGAUGAUAAUUGGAAAAGUCCCGCAGCCACUCAACUGAUACAACCUGUCGCACGGGAGAUUACAACGGAGCUGUUUCUUUUAUGGUUUGUUCCGCUUUUGUUUAAGGGUCCCGACCCGAGGAUCCGCACGCAAUCCCACCACCAGCUCAACUUAACACGAAUCGACUCGACUCGACUCGAUUCCACUCAUGCCGUUAAUUCCAUCCCUCUUUCGGUUUGCGGAGGCAGCUCAAAAUAGUGUUUUAUUGCUGUAAAUUAUUCUUUCAGUUAUUUACUUUUUAUUUGCCGCUGCUCGGCGCUCUGCGCCCUUCCCGCUCGGCCAGCGUUCACCCAGUUUCAAAUUUUUAUUAGUUUAUUACGAUUAUUAUCGUUUAAUGGGGCUCGUUUGCACCGCUGACGCUCACUCGUUAUUGUUGUUAAAGUUGUUGUAGUUCUUUCUGGUGGCUGCUGCUUUUGCUGUUGAGCAGAGCAACGUGUGAAGGUGUUUUAUUAUUUGUUUUGAUUAUCAAAAUGAGCAUUUUACAUUUUUCCGGUCGUUGGGCGGACCACCUGCCCAUGGCCCAUGGCCCUUGGCCUAUGGCUGAAUGGCAGUAAAUUACUGCCCGCUGUGAGUGCUCCGUGAGUAUGUGCGAGUGCACCCAGUGGGGCCAGGCACUCACUCCCUCAUUCGCACUCGCAGUACGACCCAUAAACUUAAGACGAAGUGUGGCAAAAUGCUUAAUUUGGAAUUUAUGAGCAAUUAAUUUUAAAAUUCUCUUUUGUCCGUUAACGCUCCGCCCCCACCACACCCCAACCCACCAUGUCUGACGCCAAGCCAUAAAAGAUCCGCUAAAAUUUGAUUAUUUAGCCACUCCGCUGAUUGAUCAUUAUUCAGUUGUUAUCGCCCAACACGAACACGGGAUUUGGCAAUCCGAGCCAGGCCAAUUGGGCAACGGCCAUAAAACUACGCGAAAGCCAAUUACAAUUGAAUUAUUCGGGUUGAUCGUAAAUCGAGAAUCAUAUUAUAUUUGACAGCUACUUUAGAAAGAGAGAGUGCAUGUAGAUAAAGGAAUUCAAAUAUAAUACUACAUAGAAAAUGUAAACACG
Molecule: long non-coding RNA, 1933 nt
Organism: Drosophila subobscura
Lineage: Eukaryota; Metazoa; Arthropoda; Insecta; Diptera; Drosophilidae
Exons: 6
Source: RefSeq, a predicted model, not a curated record